Molecule: microRNA precursor, 106 nt
Filed under: Mesocricetus auratus (golden hamster)
Lineage: Eukaryota; Metazoa; Chordata; Mammalia; Rodentia; Cricetidae
Description: miRNA (ENSMAUG00000001694.1)
Source: RNAcentral
GAAAUCCCUCCAUGAGAUACAGCUGUAAGGCAUUUUCUCAAUUAGUGAUCAAUGGGGGAGGGUGCUGCCCAUUGUGGGUGGGGCCAUGCCUGGGCUGGUGGUCCUG